AUGAAGAACAUUAUUUAGGUGACACUCCAGAGAUGAAGUGUUCUCCAGGCUUCGUGACUGUGGUACUCUUAAUGCUUGAACAAACCCAUGGAGACUCAGUGACCCAAACGGAGGGCCAAGUGACCCUCUCAGAAAAGGCUUCCCUGACGGUGAACUGUACUUUUUCAACGACAUGGUCCCCCACUCUUUUUUGGUAUGUCCAGUAUCCAGGGGAAGGUCCAGAACUCCUCCUGAAAGCCUCGAGGGACAAGGAGACGAAACACAACAAAGGUUUUGAAGCCACCCUCGACAGCAAAUCCAAAUCCUUCCACUUGGAGAAAGGCUAGUGCAAGCGUCAGAUUCAGCUGUGUACUACU
Zalophus californianus (California sea lion) is the source of this 356-nucleotide non-coding RNA. Lineage: Eukaryota; Metazoa; Chordata; Mammalia; Carnivora; Otariidae. The record is from the annotation of a RefSeq genome assembly.